UGUCGGCCAGCUGGUGGCGGCCAGCGGCGGCUACGACCUGCCGUCCUUCGCCAACCUGACCAAGUUCGACACCUGGGCGAACGA
This 84-nucleotide transfer RNA is filed under the name Thalassobaculum fulvum. Its description in RNAcentral is "tRNA-Arg". The record is from RNAcentral. Lineage: Bacteria; Pseudomonadati; Pseudomonadota; Alphaproteobacteria; Rhodospirillales; Thalassobaculaceae.